CCGACCUUAGCUCAGUUGGUAGAGCGGAGGACUGUAGUGAGUGCCGUAAUCCUUAGGUCGCUGGUUCGAAUCCGGCAGGUCGGA
Ipomoea nil (Japanese morning glory) is the source of this 84-nucleotide transfer RNA. It matches the Rfam family "tRNA". Rfam says of the family: Transfer RNA (tRNA) molecules are approximately 80 nucleotides in length. Their secondary structure includes four short double-helical elements and three loops (D, anti-codon, and T loops). The record is from Rfam. NCBI's taxonomy places the organism in Eukaryota, Viridiplantae, Streptophyta, Magnoliopsida, Solanales, Convolvulaceae.